This 327-nucleotide ribosomal RNA is filed under the name uncultured eukaryote. RNAcentral describes it as "partial 18S ribosomal RNA". It matches the Rfam family "Eukaryotic small subunit ribosomal RNA", at positions 1470 to 1796 of the family's 1831-position model. The record is from RNAcentral.
CCCUUAGAUGUUCUGGGCCGCACGCGCGCUACACUGAUUCAUGCAACAAGUUUUGUCCUUGGCUGAUAGGCCUGGGUAAUCUUUGAACGUGAAUCGUGAUGGGGAUAGAUGAUUGCAAUUAUUCAUCUUCAACGAGGAAUUCCUAGUAAACGCAAGUCAUCAGCUUGCAUUGAUUACGUCCCUGCCCUUUGUACACACCGCCCGUCGCACCUACCGAUUGAAUGGUCCGGUGAAAUCUUCGGAUCUGAGAGAUGUCUGAUUAAUUUCGGACGCCUUUUGGAAAAGCUGUUUAAACCUUACCAUUUAGAGGAAGGUGAAGUCGUAACA